UUUCGCAAUGCCCGAAAGGGUGACGAAGCGACGCCGCGUGUGGGAAGAAGGCCUUCGGGUUGUAAACCACUGUCGGGAGUUAGGAAAUGUAAGGGUGUUAAUAGUACCCUUACUUGACUAAGGCUCCGGAGGAAGCCACGGCUAACUCUGUGCCAGCAGCCGCGGUAAUACAGAGGCGGCAAGCGUUGUUCGGAAUUAUUGGGCGUAAAGAGCACGUAGGCGGCCUUGUAAGUCAGUUGUGAAAGCCUUCUGCUUAACGGAAGAACAGCAGCUGAUACUGCAAGGCUAGAGUGCGGAAGGGGAGAGUGGAACUUCUGGUGGAGCGGUGAAAUGCGUAGAUAUCAGAAGGAACACCGGCGGCAAAGGCGACUCUCUGGUCCGUAACUGACGCUGAGUGUGCGAAAGCUAGGGGAGCAAACGGGAUUAGAUACCCCGGUAGUCCUAGCCGUAAACGAUGGGCACUAAGUAGAGGGGUUUUA
Molecule: ribosomal RNA, 479 nt
Filed under: uncultured bacterium
Lineage: Bacteria
Description: bacterial SSU rRNA
Rfam family: Bacterial small subunit ribosomal RNA
Source: RNAcentral